This 265-nucleotide ribosomal RNA is filed under the name Tetraselmis sp. GSL018. RNAcentral's name for it is "partial Eukaryotic small subunit ribosomal RNA". It matches the Rfam family "Eukaryotic small subunit ribosomal RNA", at positions 121 to 390 of the family's 1831-position model. Lineage: Eukaryota; Viridiplantae; Chlorophyta; Chlorodendrophyceae; Chlorodendrales; Chlorodendraceae. The record is from RNAcentral.
UUGAUGGUACCUUGCUACUCGGAUAACCGUAGUAAAACUAGAGCUAAUACGUGCGUAAAUCCCGACUCACGAAGGGACGUAUUUAUUAGAUCCAAGACCGACCGUGCUUGCACGCUCUUGGUGAAUCAUGAUAACUUCACGAAUCGCAUGGCCUCGUGCCGGCGAUGUUUCAUUCAACUUUCUGCCCUAUCAACUUUCGACGGUAGUAUAGAGGACUACCGUGGUAGUAACGGGUGACGGAGGAUUAGGGUUCGAUUCCGGAGAG